This is a long non-coding RNA of Oncorhynchus tshawytscha (Chinook salmon), 2245 nucleotides long. RefSeq lists it as uncharacterized. The transcript is spliced from 6 exons. The record is from RefSeq and is a predicted model, not a curated record. Lineage: Eukaryota; Metazoa; Chordata; Actinopteri; Salmoniformes; Salmonidae.
ACAUUUAAUGAAGAAAAUUUAAAAAUUAGGAAAUAUAAUUUUGAAAUGUAGAAUUUUAUUCCUAAUUGUUCUCCUUGAAGUUGAUUGAUCAGCACUUGGGACAAAUUGCCUCCUUCCACUGAAAUAAAAUAGCCUAAAAUGUACUUUGAACUCUAUGUCAUUAGCUAAUUGUCUCCCAACAUCACGCAUCCCCUAACUUCGGAAACUCUCUAGCAGUUGGAGGACUAAAUCACCUUGAGCUCAACGUUUAAAGGGACAGGAAAAUAACGCAUGGAGUGAGGUGGACAUGGACUGUGGGGAAGGGAUGGCUAUCCGCCAGGCUGCCAAGGUGCAUGGUACCUCGGCAGACCCUGGCAGACAGGCUGAGAGGCCGGGUGACCCAUGGUUGUCGCAGUGGACCACCCACAUUGCUUUCACCAGAGGAUGGAAAUUCUCUGGUGCAGUACUGUAUCUACAGCGCCAGCCAUGGGUUCCCCUUCACCAGACAGAGGCUGAUGAAAUACGUUGACAAAAUACACAGGUUUCAGCACCCAGGAGGAAACAAUCUCACCUCUGGGGAAGAGCUGAUGGGAAAUGUAAAGGAGGAGACACAAGAACCUGAGCAUGAGGAGGCCGGACACCCUAGAAGGGGGAGAGCUGAGUGUGCCACACAUCCGACGAUGGAAACCUUCUUUGCUUCUUAUGAGAAGCACUUGGAGGAGAGUGGGUUGAGGGAGAAACCAAGACAAAUCUAUAACUGCGAUGAGUCUGGGUUGCGUAGCGACCAGAGCAGGCACAAAGUGCUGGCCUGCAGGCACAAAGAGCAGGCACCAAUGAGCACAUCACAGUGCUAGCCUGCUUCAACGCAGCUGGGGAGGAUGUCCCUCCGUUUAUCAUCUAAACCAAGUGUUUCCCAGGUGGCCACUACACACCAAGGUCGCUGGAGACCUCAGCCAUUUUGACCACUCCUACAUUGUAAACAAAUCAGAAUUUGCCAGAGUAUGCCGCUACCCUUACCAGCGCUACAAGGACAUACGCUAUGUGGUGGAAGGGUUUAAGAAGUGUGGCCAUUUCCCUUUUGACCGUUCAGCCAUUUAAGGGCCCAUUUAGUGUCGUCACGGUCCCUACCGGGUUCCACUACCGCCUCUCCUGGAACCUGUGGUUGCCACAUGCCUCAGAGGAAUACACGCGCCAGUGGCAGGAGAGGGGUGAGAAGGAGAGGUCCGAGGCAGAGGAGAAAGAGUGUCGGGCAGCCCUCAGAGGGCAUGGGAGAGGGCUGCCAUGGAUGAGACCAUCGACGCCAUCGCCUCUGCUGGACCUCCCGCUGGAACCACUCCUGACAGCUGCAUCACCAUCACCAGUGCCUCCCAGUGUGCAACACCUGUAGGAGCCGCCAGAGCCCACAGCUGCAGAAGAAGGCCACAUGCCUAAUCUCCGGGCCACACCAUCGUCGGCACCUCAACCACACCAUUACAAACACCAGCUCCUCCAAACCAUCAUCGGCGGUUUCGUCCACCACCACGAUGCACACCAUCCCCCUGUCUGUCACCACCAACGCAGCCUCCUCUGGACCAACUGCCUCCUCCAUCUCCCCUGGUCACACCACCAUUGCAGCCUCGUCUGGUGUCGCUGCCCCCUGCAAUUUGAAUACAGCCACCUCCACAGUCCAUAGCACCAGCCUCAAGGCAUGUCCACCUCCUCCAAAACAUCUGAAGCUUCCUCCAGAGCACAGAAAAGGAAGAGAAAAGCGUCACCAGCCACCUCUGUCACGUCACCCAUGGCAGUACUCUCAGGUACUUCAUAAUAUUUGUUUUUCACUCAGUUGUAUCAAUUACUAUUGUUGCAGUAGUACUUCUACAUUUUGCAAAACCAUGUUAAUCAAUUUGAUGUGGUUUUUUUUGGGGGGGGGGGGUUCAAAUAAAAGAAGACACCACCUGCUGUGCUCACUGCGGUGAGCAUGAUCCACCUGCAAGCUCCCCGCAGGAGUGUAGGUCCUAGGUGCCAUGGGUGUGCUGUGACUUCUGCCAGCACUGGUUCCACCGUAGGUGUGUGUAGUGGGAUCUAGAGGUGGUGGUGAAGCUGGAUUUUUAUAUAUGGGGAUGGAGGUCGAGAUUUUAUUGUUUGUUUGUUUUCAUAAGAAAUUAUUUAUUUGAUUUAAAAAAAUACAUGGCUAAAAUAUAAGAUAUGUUGAUUCAACCAAUCUUUUGUAUUUCUUCCUUUACUUUCCAAGUGCAUCUCUGCAACACAAACUCCAAGUGUUUUAAUU